This 22-nucleotide non-coding RNA is filed under the name Arabidopsis thaliana (thale cress). The record is from RNAcentral. Lineage: Eukaryota; Viridiplantae; Streptophyta; Magnoliopsida; Brassicales; Brassicaceae.
ACACAAUCUAAUUUGGUGUUUC